UUAGCUUCGACCUCCAUUCUGCAUCGGCAGCAUCUCGGAUAUUACUGCAGAGAAAAUGAUCGAAAACUGACCUUUGGAUUAUCGGUUUCUUUUUAUGUCCAUGGAAGAACAAUGCUGAUGAAGAUGUAUGUUUAACCAAAACUGUGGUUGAUGUAGUUAAUAGGAUAUAGUGCAUUGAUCUAACCGGUGGCUGAUGUGGGUGCAAACGUUUUAAUAGGAAAAAUUGCUGGAUGGUCCAUGUCAGCAUCUCGAUGACUGGCUCUAAGAUCGAUGCUGCUGUUGAUUUUUUCUAAUUCCGUUCCGCUUCCAG
This 310-nucleotide long non-coding RNA is filed under the name Gossypium barbadense (sea-island cotton). RNAcentral's name for it is "long non-coding RNA (GBAR_LNC008698)". Lineage: Eukaryota; Viridiplantae; Streptophyta; Magnoliopsida; Malvales; Malvaceae. The record is from RNAcentral.